Long non-coding RNA from Sander lucioperca (pikeperch), 188 nucleotides. RefSeq lists it as uncharacterized. Lineage: Eukaryota; Metazoa; Chordata; Actinopteri; Perciformes; Percidae. The record is from RefSeq and is a predicted model, not a curated record. The transcript is spliced from 2 exons.
GUGACAGAGGCGCAGUUUUGGUGGCACAUGUGUACGUUCAAAAUCGUGCAACAGAAAACUCAGAUUGGACAGAUAGUCUAGCUAGCUGUCUGGAUUUACCCUGCAGAGAUCUGAGGAGCAAUUAACCAUGGUCCUCAGAAAUCUACCGGAGUUUAAAUUUACAACAUGAAGAAAGCAGAAGGUAACGG